RNAcentral lists this ribosomal RNA (520 nucleotides) under uncultured bacterium. Its description in RNAcentral is "bacterial SSU rRNA". It matches the Rfam family "Bacterial small subunit ribosomal RNA", at positions 25 to 518 of the family's 1533-position model. The record is from RNAcentral.
CAGGACGAACGCUGGCGGCGUGCCUAAUACAUGCAAGUCGAACGGUCUUUCUAUGGAAGCUUGCUUCCGCUGAGAAGAUAGUGGCGAACGGGUGAGUAACACGUGGGUAACCUGCCCAUAAGAGGGGGAUAACAUCCGGAAACGGGUGCUAAUACCGCAUAGUUUUCUUGAUCGCAUGAUCGGGAAAGAAAAGACGGCCUUUGUGCUGUCGCUUAUGGAUGGACCCGCGGCGUAUUAGUUAGUUGGUGAGGUAACGGCUCACCAAGACGAUGAUACGUAGCCGACCUGAGAGGGUGAUCGGCCACAUUGGGACUGAGACACGGCCCAAACUCCUACGGGAGGCAGCAGUAGGGAAUCUUCCGCAAUGGACGAAAGUCUGACGGAGCAACGCCGCGUGAGUGAAGAAAGGUUUUCGGAUCGUAAAACUCUGUUGUCAGAGAAGAACAAGUUGGAGAGUAACUGCUCCAGCCUUGACGGUAUCUGACCAGAAAGCCACGGCUAACUACGUGCCAGCCGCGGC